Molecule: long non-coding RNA, 2682 nt
Organism: Dermochelys coriacea (leatherback sea turtle)
Lineage: Eukaryota; Metazoa; Chordata; Testudines; Dermochelyidae
Exons: 3
Source: RefSeq, a predicted model, not a curated record
GGGGUGGGGCUGCUGACAUAUUACUGUGGCUCUUUGGAAAUGCACAUUAGUAAGUUCUGACUCCUUCUCAGGCUCAGGUUGACCACCCCUGCUCUAGAAUCUUUACCAAGGCUCCUUACAAGCUGUGCAAGUAUAUGCAGUAUUAGCAACAUCCUCAUUACAGAAUAUAGAUAUAUAAUGAAAUAUCCUGCCAUUUUUAUUUCUAUUUUGUAUUAGGAGAGCUACUGUAUAGCUCUGGUUUUUCAACAGAAAAAAAAAGUUAAAAAAAAAGUGUGAGUAUGUGUAAUCUCAAUGGAAUCUGCUGUCAGCAGAUUCAUCUGAACAAAGGUGGGCAGUAAUAGGAGGAAAAGCAGAAUCAAAGAAUGAGAAAGUAAUUUUAAAAUUACUGUACAAAACUGUAUAACAAUGCUCAGGCUAUGGUGAAGUUGCUGUUUAUGUGAUAGAACCACCAGUGUAAUCUCUACCAUCCAAUUGGAUUUAGAAUCCUGAUAACAUUUAACCAGGAGAAAGAUAAUUUCAGGGACACAUCCAUAGUAUUCUUUAAAAGACUAAUUUUAUGGAUAAUCAUUGGCUGAUGGACUAAACUAGCACGUUCUGAGUUAAUCAAAAUGCUGCUUCUCUCUGAGCAACAAUCACUCUAGUGUUCCAACAUCCAUCUGACAAAAUGAUAUCAACGUCACAUGUUUGGGAUGAUAAAAAUAAACUACUGUAAUUGCAAUAGAAAUCUGUCACCGGAUCAUCCUCCCACUUUAAAAAUACAGUAAACAUCUUGGCUUUGCCUCAACAUUUAUUUUUGACAAAUGUAUAAGAUCUCCUGUGACACCAGCUAGUGCCAGUCGUCUGUCCCAUUUACAGUAAUAAUGGGAACCAGUUGUUUAUCCGCUUCAUGUUUUGCUUAUCUGUCACUUAGCCAGAUUUUAAGCAUUCAGUUUAGUGCACAGAAAGGAUGAAUGUCUUUGAUCAAUAAUUUGCAUAUUGUAGUUAGUUAGGCUAUGGGCAUGUGUAAUUCAGCAGGAUGAGAUAUGCACUUAAUGAAUUAGUGUACAUUACAUUCUGUAUGUAGAAAUAUUCAAGUCACAUGUUUUUCAAAUGUACUUUCAGCUCAACCUUUCUGAAUUUUAGGUAGAUCUGGUUUAACAUGAGUAAAGCAUAGUUAGAAUUCUUUAGGAAUGGAUGAAAGAAUGAUUCACAAACUCCCUACACGUGACAAAAAGUACAUAAUCUAAUUGAUUGUCAUCUGAUUUGUCACCUCUGCAAAUCUGUAGCAAUUUACAAGUCACCCCUCUUGCCAAAACAAAAACAGUGCAUCUUUAUGCUACAGAAGGUAUUUAUUAGUGUAAAAGAAAGUAUUAAAUAUUCAGUCAAAGCAGGUUAAAGUGUCCCAUAUUUGCUAACAGAAUUUAGUGUGUUCAUAGAUCAUAUAGAAAGCACCAAAAACAAAUUGGAAUUCCCCUAACUCAAUAAUAUUUCAGUGCCAGUGACUAAAGUUUCAGAUCUUUGUUUUUUGUCACGUGUUAAUAAUACUCCCAUCUAAAUCCCAGUGAAAAAAAUGUUCAUGUGUGCUGAAGAUAUCUCUCUAUAAGCACACCAAUUAGAACUCUUCAGAAAGCUUGCUUUUAACAUCGGCUACGUAUAGUGUUCUCAUAUUACAUCCUGCUGUAAAUUUCACCUAAGAAGGUGAGCUAUUUGGACAAUAACAGAUUCCCUGAAGGAACAUUGUCUGAUCAUAAAUAUUAAUGAUAAUGAACUUGAAAAGGCCAUCUUAAUAAAAUGCAAUUAGACACUAUUACUUCCAAGAGUUAUGCAUAUGAUUUAAAUGUUACAUAGCAUUUUCAGUAAAUUUAGGCUUUCUAAUUCAGGGACAAGUCUUGCCUCUAUUAUGUGCAUCAGUAGUCCCUAACAGCAAAUAGAGCUGCUGGACUGGCCCAUAGAAAACAACAGUCUAUAAUAUACUGGUGGUUGCCCUUUUAUUACGUUCUAUUUACUAGAGAUUAUACUAGAGAUUAGUAUUACCAAAAAAAUCAAAUAAUUUUUUGAAUCUCGGGCAGUCAAAUUAGAGGAGUCAACAGUAUUACAAUAUUUUUCCCCUUUUCGUGGACAAAUUAAUAUCGGUUACUAGAGAGAUUUAGGUCACAACAACAAGGCUCAGUUGUAUGACUUUGCAGUGGCCUUGGGAGCAAGGGUGACAAAUACUCUUGAGAGAUUGCAUUGGGUGUUUCACACUUCACUUUUGAUUAUUUGGAGCCUUGCUUGAAUCAUACCAUGGAUAUUUUUCAAAGAAAAUCAGCAUUUGGCCUGAUUCACCUUUCAUUUGCAUUGGUUCUGCACCAUUGAUUUCAAUAGAAUUAUUCUCAAUUUACUAGUGGGGAGGGAGGCCACUCUGCCUCUUGUAUUGGGCGGUAACCCUCAGGUUUGGGUCGCACUGGCGGGGCUGAGUUGUAAGUAGUCUAUAGGUCUGGGCCCAUCUAACAGAGACAAACAAUAAUAGUCAGGUGCUCAUGUUCCUACCCUUGGGCAGGGCAGAGCACUGUGGAGCCUUUAGCUCGCAGCCCCUCAGCUUGAUUAUCACUACAAAAGUUUUUUUCUCCUGCUGAUAAUAGCUCAUCUUAAUUAAUUAGCCUCUUACAAUUUGUAUGCCAAAUUCCACCUUCUCUGUAUAUGUGUGUAUAUAUCUUCUUACUG